AUGUGUAAAACAAAUGUACUGUUACAUAUAGAUCCCUAUUGUUCUUAACUUUAAACAGAAAUUCAUAAACAGAUCCCGAGAACAUUAUCCACAUGUCCUUGCUUCUGUAUUCUGUUGCAGAUUAAUCCUUUAUUAUUGAGAUGAACCCAAGCCAGGUUGGUUCAUACAAACCACAGUCAAAUUAAAUCAAUAAUGUGUCUAUCUCAGUCUAAGCAUAUAGAAAUAGUCAAGUAUUAUGUAAAAGAUACAAGUUAAACUAUAAUACAGUCUUAAAUUAGACUAAUUAAGUCAUAUUUGAUCAAUUAUAUGUGAAUCAUAGUAAAACAAAAUGAACCAACUCAUGUUAUUUGGUUUGGACAUUCAAUUAAAAGGGCUAAAGGGUGAUUGGAUAGGAUCUGAAAACAUAGGAUAAUCAACCAACUGCAUGGUACAGUUUGAAGAGACUCCAAAUUAAUAUCCCAAGCCUCUUGAAUCAGAUAAAUUAACCUAUGGCUCUAACGUGAUGUUUAACCUUACAUGAUGCAAUCUGAUAGACCUGUGAUGUUAUUGAAGAUAGGGCUAAGGUUGUAGAGCCGAUUUCAACUACACCACCAACCCUUCAAUGUGUAUGAUUGGUUCCCAUGGACACAUGGUGCCGACUAUAAGAGUCUCUGCAAACAGCUGCCUCC
This 668-nucleotide long non-coding RNA is filed under the name Elaeis guineensis (African oil palm). Its description in RNAcentral is "long non-coding RNA (EGUI_LNC035042)". Lineage: Eukaryota; Viridiplantae; Streptophyta; Magnoliopsida; Arecales; Arecaceae. The record is from RNAcentral.